UGAGAGAAUCCGAACAGGAAGGGCACACAAUGGAGUGGGGAAGGCACCGAGGGGAGCAGGCAGGGUCCGAGGAGGAGGGAGUUAGCGGAGGGAGUGCUGGUGGGGUGGUGGCCAUCAAAAUCAGACGUUCCCAAGCGACACACCCGGACCAGACCGUAGAGAAGAUGCUGGACUUGGUGCGUGGGAAUCAUCAGCGACCCCGGCUAGGGCAGCUUCGGGCAGCGUAGGGAGGAAGCCAGAUUGCAACGGAUUAAGGAGUGAGGGGGUGGCGAGAUUUGCUGUCCUGAUUCAGCCGCCGCGGCGGCAGCCCGGGCUGGCUCUCCUCCCACAGGUGCGGGCUCCACAUGCGACGGGAACACGUGUGCCCACUCGUGCCACAGGCAUGCAGCCACAGGUGUAUUGAGCACCUGCUGUGUGCCUGAUGCUAUGCAAUGGGAAUCGAUAGUCAUGAGCGAGAUGGAGUCUGUGAUCUCAUGGAGCUUAAAUCCAGACCCUGAUUCCACAUGGCCCGGAGCGCCCUGACCUGCUUUCUCAAGCACCAUUUUCCACAUUCCUUCCUGGGUUGGAGAUGGAUGGGACUGAGACAGACAAAGUGGACCCCUUAGCAUUGAGGCACGAGAUGGUGAAGCUAAGCCGACAGAAGAAAAGCCGACCCCACAGAAGAUGUUUCACCAUUAAAUGAUUUCAUACGACUAUCUGGAUUUCUGGCUUCUCUUGAAAACUGAACAUCUGGUUUCACCUUCCCUCCUGGCUGGGACUGUGGCUGCCGUCCCAUUUUAGAUGGGUCACCCUUUCUCCGGUGUUCAACAUUCCCCAUCACUGCGUAUAGCUGUACUGUUCAAUAAGGUAACCACUAGCCAUAUGGGGCUAUUGAGUCUUGAAAUGUGGCUAGUCCAAAUUGAGGUGGCUAUUAGGGAUAAGGGAAUCUGGGAGGUAUUUUUCUCCUUCUGUUAGAAAAUUCUUAUGAGGUUCACAUUGGAUUUCUGUUGGACCCUAGUGGCCCAUAGUCUGCACAUCAAGCCAGCUUCUUGCAUUUCUGCUCCCUGCCUGACCCUGUAGGCACAGGAGUUUGGAACCUCUGAUGAAUGGGAAGGAAGUGUGACCUGGAGUCAGGACGCCAAAGUUCAACUGCUGGCUCUGACACUUACUGUGUGACUUUGGGAGAGUUACCUCCCUCUCUAUGCUUGGUCUCUUCAAUUGUACAAUGAAGACUUUGGACUGAAUUUCUAACUUUCUGCAAUGGAAAUACAAUGGAAUACAAAUUUUGGACUUAAUUUCCAACUUUCUACAAUGGAAAGAAACUUCGCCUCCCACACACCUCUGAAUUUACCCUCUUGUGGUGGGGCUCUGCUGCUGUCAGCUUUGAUCUGAGCUUCCCCAGCUGGGCACCCCCUCCUCUUGCCCUGAUUCUUUACACUCCAGCUGCUUCUAUAUCUUUGGGGAGCCCUGUCUCCAUCAGGGGCCUCCCUCCUCAUUCCACAGGGGGCUGCAUGCUGGAUCGUUCUGCUUGGCUUGCUGCUUACAAAACGAGAGGUUGACCAUGUUUCCCUUUGCUUUUUCAUUAAUAUCUGCAAUUUGCCCUCAUUUAAUUCACAUAUUUUAGCUAUUAGUUUCCUCACCUUCCGCAAUUAUUUUCAUGCACCCUUGGGCUUGUAAACCAUUGUUCCAAGUGGCGUGUUGCCUAUUUUAAGAACUUAAUUUGUUUAUAAUGUGCACAUCAGCUGCAUGAUUUGUUUCUUGCUGGUAAUUAACUUUUAAGCUGAUGCCAUUCCCCCGCCAAAAGUGAAACUCAAGGUAAAGUUGGUAAGAUUAAUCAUGCUGGCUGCAUCCAAAUCUUCCGACAUCUUCAUCAGACUCAGCAAGUUUGGGGAAAAUGAUAUUUUUUUCUUCUACUUCCAUCUGUUACCCUGCCGAUCUUGGAGCCAAUCCAUCCAUUAGUGGGCUUGAGUGUUGGAGUUGGAAUCUGAGACUUUUCAGUUUCUGUACCAAGACGAGCAAACUUUUCCUCCAAACCCUCACCCUGCAACUUGAACCCAUCUCUUCCUUCCUGGGAGGGUCCCUGGAUACUGAUGAAUCAUGAAAUUGUUGUAUAAUACCUCCCAGAUUCCCUUAGCGCUAUUGUGGAGUUAGUUACUGGUUUCCACAGUCUUUUGCAAUCAGACAAAUCAGCAAUGUUUUGGAUUGAUAAUCUCCAUUGGUGAGGUGGGGAUGUUUGGGUUGUAAAUAGCUAACUUUAUUAAUCUUUCUAUUUAAUGAUUCUGUCUGUAGGUCAUGGGUGAAAUUGAAAUUCCAGACCGCCCUCCUUCGUGGUAAACCUUUAGAAAUUAGAUUGUACUAGGUCAGUGCUUCUGAAACCUGAAUGUGAACCCCUGGGUGAGAUUAUGAUUCAGUUGGUCUAAGGUGGGACCCACAAAUCUGCAUUUUGACACGUGCCAAGAAGAGGCCAGUGCUGCUAGUCCGGGACCAUACUCUGAAAGGUAGGCAUUAGCCAGCCAGCUUCGUGAAGACUGGAAUGAUAUCAGUCUUGUUUCUUUUUUUUUUUUUCUUUUUGAGACAGAGUCUCAUUCUGUCACCCAGGCUGGAGUGCAGUGGUGAGAUCUCGGCUCAGUUCACUGCAACCUCCGCCUCCUGGGUCCAAGUGAUUAUCCUGCCUCAGCCUCCUGAGUAGCUGGGAUUACAGGCAUGCACCACCAUGCGUGGCUAAUUUUUUUUUUUUAUUUUUUUUAAAAUUUUUAGUAGAAAUGGGAUUUCUGCAUGUUGGUCGGGCUGGUCUUGAACUCCUGACCCCGUGAUCCUCCCACCUCGCUCUCCCAAAGUGCUGGGACCACAGGCAUGAGCCACCGCACUAGGCCUUAGUCUUGUUUCUUAUUGGCAUGUGGACACCGGCAACUGUUUGGAGACUGAAGGAGUGAAUGACUGAAUGAGCUGCACUCAGGAAUGUAGAUAACGCUCUCCCAGAUCGAUCUUAUUAGAGUGAGAUGCCUUCCUUCUUAUUCUCACACUAGCAAAAAAAAAAAAAAAAAAAAAAAGUAGUAAUUUUAUAUUUUUCCAAAUUUAGGAAGGGCUAAAUGUCAUACGCUGAUUUAUCUCCUCCAUAGAUAUGAUAUUUAUGUGUGUGUGCACACACAUAUGUUUGGCUUUUGGAAGUGAAUUUAUAGUAACUGAAUGCUCUUCACCAUGGAUCUCUUUCUAACUAUAGCCUGCCGCUUUCAUCCGAAAGGGCCCGCUUCCAGAGAGCCCUGCAAAUGGAGAAAUCCUUGUUCCUGUUUUUAAAAUUCUUCAGAGAGCUGCCUGGUUUUCCCUCUAAGGCCCUGUUUUUUUCCAGUGUUGUUUCCAGAUUUCUGAUCACAUCAAUGGAGGAGCUUCAAAUAAGUGCUGACUUCCUGUAACACUUCUCUUGAACACCUUGAAGCUUCUAUCAUUCUUCAGCUACCAUGAAUGGGUUGUCAAUUUUUCAUGAGGCCAAGAUGGUAAAUGCACACACAAACACACACAUGUGCGUGCACACACCCACACGCACACACACACACACACACAGAGUAUUUUUGAGACUAGAAGGUCAGUACAUAUGACCAGGGUACUCAUUUAAAGAGACAGAGGGGCAGAAUAUUUUAAAUUGGAUCCUUUCCCUAAUAUAGCUGUUUUCACAUUUACACGGAAUUUCGUGUUCUGUUACUGCAGGAGGUCCUCCAGACUGUUUCAGCUUCAGGGUCCUCCCAAACCUCUUCCCCCAAGACAGGCUGUGAAUUUUCCUGGGUGUCCCCACCAAGUCCCCUGGACUAUUGUGGAUUUCUGGAGUUUCCUGCCCAGCCCCACCUGUGGGUUGUGGGAGGAAGCUGAAAGGAGAAAAUGAGAGCUCCGAGGGUGUCAUUUGCCCAAGGCUUUGUGGAUAAGAAGUGGUGGAGGCCCGGCGCGGUGGCUCACGCCUGUAAUCCCAGCACUUCGGAAGGCCGAGGCGGGCGGAUCUUGAGGUCAGGAGAUCGAGACCAUCCUGGCUCAUACGGUGAAACCCCGUUUCUACUAAAAAUACAAAGAAUUAGCCAGUUGCGGUGGUGGGCGUCUGUAGUCCCAGCUACUCCGGAGGCUGAGGCAGGAGGAUGGCAUGAACCCGGGAGGCGGAGCUUGCAGUGAGAUGAGAUCGCGCCACCGCACUCCAGCCUGGGUGAAAGAGCAAGACUCUGUCUCAAAAAAAAAAAAAAAAAAAAAAGAAGUGGUGGAGACACCCCGCGAACUCUGACCCAGGGCUGACAGUCUUAACUAUUAUGCUCCACUGUUGUGCACCUCAAACUGAAAGUGCCCAGGAGUCUCCUGGGACCUUGUACAAAUGCAGAUUCUGAUUCGUUAGGUCUGAGGUGGAGCCUGAGAUUCUGCAGUUCCAACAAGCUCCCAGGCGAUGCCGAUGCUGUCCACCUGUCACCCACACUCUGAGAACUACUCAUCUAGAGGGUCACGCCCCUGACUGCAUUGGAAUCACCGAGGAUCUUUUAAAAACUGCCACCUUGGCUGCACCUCCAGAAAUCUGAUUGAAUUGCAGCAGCCUGGGCAUCAUGAAGUUUGUUUUAAAAAAAUUCUUUUCUUUUUCUUUUUUCUUUCUUUCUUUUUCUUUUUCUUUUCUUUUUCUUUUUUUUUUUUUUUUGAGACAGAGUCUCGCUCUGUUGCUCAGGCUGGAGUGCAGUGGCAUGAUCUUGGUUCACCGCAACUUCUACUUCCCGGGUUCAAGCAAUUCUCCUGCCUCAGCCUCCCGAGUAGCUGGGAUUACAGGUGCACGCCACCACGCCCAGCUAAUUUUUGUAUGUUUAAUAGAGACGGGGUUUUGCCAUGUUGGUCAGGUUGGUCUUGAACUCCUGACCUCAGGUGAUCUACCCGCCUUGGCAUCCCAAAGUAUGGGAUUACAGACGUGAGCCACCAUGUCCAGGCAAAAAAAUUUUCAUUUUAAAAAUAGAGAUGGGGUCUUGCUAUGUUGCCCAGGCUGGUCUUGAACUCCUGGGCUUAAGUGAUCCUCCCAUCUUGACCUCCCAAAGGGCUCGAAUCACAGGCAUGAGUCACUGCGCUUGGCCUGAUCAUGAGUUUGAAAAAUUCCCUGGGUGGGUCCAGGUGCUAGCAGGGCUGAGAACCACUGUUCUAGGGCUCUUGUUGAGACCUCAUCUGUUUCAGGACCCCCUGAGAUUCCUGCCCAUCUGUUCUCCUGCAGAAUAGUCCAUCAUCCACCUCUGGCAUAGGGGAGACCAGACUGGGAUGGACUUGGGGUCUCCCUUGACCCUCUGUCCUGUCCUGAGCUAGUUGGUUGGACCAGAGAUGCUCUGGGUACCACGCCAGUUGGAGUAGGCAGGUGCAAGGCUACAUCUGGCAGGGUACAGCACAAGGAGAGGAACAAGGUCUCCUCUGGGGGUCCAGGAGACACUUCCAAGCUGCUCUUUGCUGAAAUGUUCAGCUGCUAAGCUGAAAAUAACUUCGGCAUUGCUGAGGAGGCUACCUGGGAUUCCCCUCCUGCCAGGAGGAGGGGAAGUAGGGGCCCUGGAAUCCCAGGGAAGCUGAUACCACCAGUCUGGGCUGUGUCACCAAGUCCUGGAGUGCUGAGUGUCUGCCACCAGCUGUGCAAGAAAAGGGGUAGAGGACAGACCUAGUGACUCUGAGCCCCUUCACGAUCCACAGUGAUGAAGCUUGUCUAGCCCAGCUGUGCUUCAGUGAUCUAGGGCUUUACUGGAGAUGCUUCAGAGGGUGCAUUACUUUCCUCCGGCUGUUGUAACAAAGGACCACAAACUGAGUGGGUAAAAACAACACAGAUUUAUUAUCUUCCAGUUCUGGGGAUCAGGAAUCCGGCACAGGUCUUAGUGGGCUGAAACCAAGGAAUUCUUUUCUGGAGACUUUGAAGGAGAAUCCAUUUUCUUGUCCUCUUCAGCUUUUACAGGCUGCCUGUAUCCUUGGCUCGGGGCCCCUUCCUCCAUCUGCAAUUCUAGCAACAGUGGUGUGAGGUUUUCUCACAUUACAUCACUCUUCUGCCUCCCGCUUCCACUUUUUUUUUCUGUUAACUUCUCAUUCCAUAAAUAUUUGUUAGACAUCUACGUGGCGUCAGGCACUGUUGUAGGCACUUUGGAUCCAGCAUGAGUGAAACAGACAAAAUCCCAAUUUUUAUGGAGUAUUUUCCAGGGAAGAGGACAAUAGAAACAAUCCAUACGUCGAUAUGUUGCCGGGCACCAUGGCAUGUGCCUGUGGUCCCAGCUACUGGGGAUACUGAGGCCGGAGGACUGCUAGAGCCCAGGAGUUCUGAGCUGCAAUGCACUGUGUCUAUCGGGUGUCCGCACUAAGUUCAGCAUCAGUGUGGCGACCUCCUGGGAGCAGGGGACCACCAGGUUGCCUAAGGAGAGGUGAACUGGUCCAGGUUGGAAACGGAGCAGGUCAAAACUCCCAUGCUGAUCAGCAGUGGGAUCACGCCUGUGAAUAGCCACUGCACUCCAGCCUGGGCAACACAGUGAGACACUGCCUCUAAAAAACUAAAAAACAAAACAUAAGUGUACAUAUUAUAAAAUAUAUUAGAAGAUGAGUUCUAUGGAGGAGAAAAUGUAGGGAAAGUGGAUAGGGAAUACUAAGCGACUCUCUUCCACUUUUAAAAAGUGGAAUCUAACCUCUUCUGAUUAGAUUAAGCCCACCCAGAUAAUCUCCUUAUUUUAAGGUUAGCUGAUUAACAACCUUUAUUUCCUCUGAAGACAUAAUUCCCCUUUGCCAGGUAAUGGAACAUGUUCACAAGUUUUUGGGAUUAGGACACGAUGUCUCUGAUGGGGUUGUAAUUCUGCCCAAUUCAGGGAUUUUGGGGUGAAUCUGAGUCUGAGACUCCGGUUGUCCCAUCCUUUCUGAACCCUGACUUUAAUCAGAGCAGUUUUGUUAAGUAUCUGUUUCCAUGCAACAUUUCCUUUGUAGAACGUAUCGCAAAGCUAACAAAAGCUUUUCAACCAAUGGUCUAAUCCCUUUUCCUGGACCAGCAGCAAGAGAACCUGGCAGCUUGCUAGAAAUGUCCAAUCUCUGCCUGAGCCAGGGUCUACCUCUUAGCACAGACCAGGAUAAUCUGUGCCUACAGUAAAGUUUGAGAAGGACCUGGGAGGAGAGGGGGGUAGUUUCUUGCCACCAUGGCUGUUCAUUGAAACCACAGAGAGCUUUGAAAAUAUAUUGAAGCCUGGGUCCUACCGAAGAUUCAUUGGCCUGCGGGUGCCACCUGGGUGCUGGAGUUUUUUAGAUCUCCUGGAUGAUUUUAAUGUGCAGUAGAGUUUGAGAACAGCUCGUCUGGUCUAUCCUCCCAGAAAAGGAAACUUCGCAGGGAGUGAAAAUGACUUGGCCAGGGUCACACAGAGGGUUGCUGGCCAUCCUGGGAGAGGAUUCAGGUCUCUUGACUUUCUGGAUUGAGGACUUCUGCUCCUACCAAGAAAACAAAAACAAUAGCAACAACAACAAUUUGGGUGGAGAGACGGGAGAGAGGAAGAGGCUUUUCCCCUGUCUUUAUUCUUCCUUAAAGUUUGAAUUGUUUUUAAUGUCAAGCAUGUUGUAAUUUUAAUACAUAAAAAAUAUUAAGGA
Molecule: long non-coding RNA, 7563 nt
Organism: Gorilla gorilla gorilla (western lowland gorilla)
Lineage: Eukaryota; Metazoa; Chordata; Mammalia; Primates; Hominidae
Exons: 4
Source: RefSeq, a predicted model, not a curated record